CCUACGGGAGGCAGCAGUGGGGAAUAUUGCACAAUGGGGGAAACCCUGAUGCAGCGACGCCGCGUGAGUGAAGAAGUAUUUCGGUAUGUAAAGCUCUAUCAGCAGGGAAGAAAAUGACGGUACCUGACUAAGAAGCCCCGGCUAACUACGUGCCAGCAGCCGCGGUAAGACGGAGGGGGCAAGCGUUAUCCGGAUUUACUGGGGGUAAAGGGAGCGUAGACGGCAGAGCAAGUCUGAAGUGAAAGCCCGCGGCCCAACUGCUGGACUGCUUUGGAAACUGCCCGGCUGGAGUGCUGGAGAGGUAGGCGGAAGUCGUGGUGUAGCGGGGAAAUGCGUAGAUAUUAGGAGGAACGCCAGUGGCGAAGGCGGCUUGCGGGACAGUAACUGACGUGGAGGCUCGAAAGCGUGGGGAGCAAACAGGAUUAGAUACCCCAGUAGUC
This 440-nucleotide ribosomal RNA is filed under the name uncultured bacterium. RNAcentral describes it as "partial 16S ribosomal RNA". It matches the Rfam family "Bacterial small subunit ribosomal RNA", at positions 338 to 795 of the family's 1533-position model. The record is from RNAcentral.